UUUGAUCCUGGCUCAGGAUGAACGCUGGCGGCGUGCGUAACACAUGCAAGUCGAACGAAGAUAUUUAAAAUGUGAGCUUCGGCAGGAUUUUUAUCUAUCUUAGUGGCGGACGGGUGAGUAACGUGUGGGCAACCUGCCCUGUACUGGGGAAUAAUCAUUGGAAACGAUGACUAAUACCGCAUGUGGUCCUCGGAAGGCAUCUUCUGAGGAAGAAAGGAUUUAUUCGGUACAGGAUGGGCCCGCAUCUGAUUAGCUAGUUGGUGGGAUAACAGCCCACCAAGGCGACGAUCAGUAGCCGACCUGAGAGGGUGAUCGGCCACAUUGGGACUGAGACACGGCCCAAACUCCUACGGGAGGCAGCAGUGGGGAAUAUUGCACAAUGGGCGAAAGCCUGAUGCAGCAACGCCGCGUGAAGGAUGAAGGGUUUCGGCUCGUAAACUUCUAUCAAUAGGGAAGAAAGAAAUGACGGUACCUAAAUAAGAAGCCCCGGCUAACUACGUGCCAGCAGCCGCGGUAAUACGUAGGGGGCAAGCGUUAUCCGGAAUUACUGGGUGUAAAGGGAGCGUAGGCGGCAUGGUAAGCCAGAUGUGAAAGCCUUGGGCUUAACCCGAGGAUUGCAUUUGGAACUAUCAAGCUAGAGUACAGGAGAGGAAAGCGGAAUUCCUAGUGUAGCGGUGAAAUGCGUAGAUAUUAGGAAGAACAUCCAGUGGCGAAGGSCGGCUUUCUGGACUGAAACUGACGCUGAGGCUCGAAAGCGUGGGGGAGCAAACAGGAUUAGAUACCCUGGUAGUCCACGCCGUAAACGAUGAGUGCUAGGUGUCGGGGAGGAAUCCUCGGUGCCGCAGCUAACGCAAUAAGCACUCCACCUGGGGAGUACGACCGCAAGGUUGAAACUCAAAGGAAUUGACGGGGGCCCGCACAAGCGGUGGAGCAUGUGGUUUAAUUCGAAGCAACGCGAAGAACCUUACCAAGGCUUGACAUCCCGAUGACCGCUCUAGAGAUAGAGUUUCUCUUCGGAGCAUCGGUGACAGGUGGUGCAUGGUUGUCGUCAGCUCGUGUCGUGAGAUGUUGGGUUAAGUCCCGCAACGAGCGCAACCCUUAUCUUCAGUAGCCAUCAUUCAGUUGGGCACUCUGGAGAGACUGCCGUGGAUAACACGGAGGAAGGUGGGGAUGACGUCAAAUCAUCAUGCCCCUUAUGUCUUGGGCUACACACGUGCUACAAUGGCUGGUAACAAAGUGACGCAAGACGGUGACGUUAAGCAAAUCACAAAAACCCAGUCCCAGUUCGGAUUGUAGUCUGCAACUCGACUACAUGAAGCUGGAAUCGCUAGUAAUCGCGAAUCAGCAUGUCGCGGUGAAUACGUUCCCGGGCCUUGUACACACCGCCCGUCACACCAUGGGAGUUGGAAGCACCCGAAGUCGGUGACCUAACCGUAAGGAAGGAGCCGCCGAAGGUGAAGCCAGUGACUGGGGUGAAGUCGUAA
This 1484-nucleotide ribosomal RNA is filed under the name uncultured Clostridium sp. Its description in RNAcentral is "bacterial SSU rRNA". It matches the Rfam family "Bacterial small subunit ribosomal RNA". The record is from RNAcentral. Lineage: Bacteria; Bacillati; Bacillota; Clostridia; Eubacteriales; Clostridiaceae.